Molecule: ribosomal RNA, 497 nt
Filed under: uncultured bacterium
Lineage: Bacteria
Description: partial 16S ribosomal RNA
Rfam family: Bacterial small subunit ribosomal RNA
Source: RNAcentral
GAUGAACGCUGGCGGCGUGCCUAAUACAUGCGAGUCGAGCGAACAGAUGAGGAGCUUGCUCCUCUGACGUUAGCGGCGGACGGGUGAGUAACACGUGGAUAACCUACCUAUAAGACUGGGAUAACUUCGGGAAACCGGAGCUAAUACCGGAUAAUAUAUUGAACCGCAUGGUUCAAUAGUGAAAGACGGUUUUGCUGCCACUUAUAGAUGGAUCCGCGCCGCAUUAGCUAGUUGGUAAGGUAACGGCUUACCAAGGCAACGAUGCGUAGCCGACCUGAGAGGGUGAUCGGCCACACUGGAACUGAGACACGGUCCAGACUCCUACGGGAGGCAGCAGUAGGGAAUCUUCCGCAAUGGGCGAAAGCCUGACGGAGCAACGCCGCGUGAGUGAUGAAGGUCUUCGGAUCGUAAAACUCUGUUAUUAGGGAAGAACAAAUGUGUAAGUAACUAUGCACGUCUUGACGGUACCUAAUCAGAAAGCCACGGCUAACUACGUG